Molecule: ribosomal RNA, 426 nt
Filed under: uncultured bacterium
Lineage: Bacteria
Description: bacterial SSU rRNA
Rfam family: Bacterial small subunit ribosomal RNA
Source: RNAcentral
GAAUAUUGGACAAUGGGCGAAAGCCUGAUCCAGCCAUGCCGCGUGUGUGAAGAAGGUCUUCGGAUUGUAAAGCACUUUAAGUUGGGAGGAAGGGUAGUAACUUAAUACGUUGCUAUUUUGACGUUACCGACAGAAUAAGCACCGGCUAACUUCGUGCCAGCAGCCGCGGUAAUACGGGGGGGGCAAGCGUUGUUCGGAAUUACUGGGCGUAAAGGGCUCGUAGGCGGCCAACUAAGUCGGACGUGAAAGCCCUCGGCUCAACCGGGGAACUGCGUCCGAUACUGGAUGGCUUGAGUCCGGGAGAGGGAUGCGGAAUUCCAGGUGUAGCGGUGAAAUGCGUAGAUAUCUGGAGGAACACCGGUGGCGAAGGCGGCAUCCUGGACCGGCACUGACGCUGAGUGAGCGAAAGCCAGGGGAGCAAACGGG